Dreissena polymorpha is the source of this 1014-nucleotide long non-coding RNA. RefSeq lists it as uncharacterized. The record is from RefSeq and is a predicted model, not a curated record. NCBI's taxonomy places the organism in Eukaryota, Metazoa, Mollusca, Bivalvia, Myida, Dreissenidae. The transcript has 2 exons.
UUAUACGCCCGUAUAAAAUACGGGACGUAUUAUGUGAAACCCCUUGGCGGCGGGCGGGCGGCGGGCGGAAGGCAUCACUUUGUCCGGACUCUAAUUCAAAUUGUAUUCAUCCGAUCUUCACCAAACUUGGUCAGCAGUUGCAUCUAGUUGAUAUCUAGGCCAAGUUCGAAUAUGGGUCAUGCCGGGUCAAAAACUAGGUCAUAGGGUCAAUUAGUGCAUUUUCAACGGCGCCACUUUGUCCGGACUCUAAUUCAAAUUGUAUUCAUCCGAUCUUCACCAAACUUGGUCAGUAGUUGCAUCUAGUUGAUAUCUAGGUCAAGUCCGAAUAUGGGUCAUGCUGGGUCAAAAACUAGGUCAAAGGGUCAAUUAGUGCAUUUUACUUUGUCCGGACUCUAAUUCAAAUUGUAUAAAUCUUAUCUUCACCAAACUUGGUCAGUAGUUGCAUCUAGUUGAUAUCUAGGCCAAGUUCGAAUAUGGGUCAUGCCAGGUAAAAAACUAGGUCAUAGGGUCAAUUAGUCCAUUUUCAACAGCGCCACUUUGUCCGGACUCUUAUUCAAAUUGUAUUCAUCCGAUCUUUACCAAACUUGGUCAGUAGUUGCAUCUAGUUGAUAUCUAGGUCAAGUUCGAAUAUGGGUCAUGUCGGGUCAAGAACUAGGUCAUAGGGUCAAUUAGUGCAUUUUCAACGGCGCCACUUUGUCCGGACUCUAAUUCAAAUUGUAUUCAUCCGAAACUUUUAAACAACUUUUUAUCCUGCGUCAAAGUGGUAUGGGGGUAUAAGUCACAUUCAGUGACAAAGCUCUAGUUCAAGUUGAAUUCACCAAACUUGGUCAGAGGUAGUAUAUAGAUUAUAUAUCAGUCAGGUCUGAUUGGAGACAUGCAACCGAUUAACACAUGCAAUAUUUUUAUGCAAUAUUUUUAUCCAGUUUUAUUUUGCGAUAUUUUCAUCGGGUUUAUUUUUUUCGCGAUUUUUGAAACGAGUUAUUUUUAACAACAUGUUUAUUGGUAAGUUUCAUU